Molecule: ribosomal RNA, 553 nt
Filed under: Penicillium oxalicum
Lineage: Eukaryota; Fungi; Ascomycota; Eurotiomycetes; Eurotiales; Aspergillaceae
Description: eukaryotic LSU rRNA
Rfam family: 5.8S ribosomal RNA (bases 211-364)
Source: RNAcentral
CUUCCGUAAGGGGAACCUGCGGAAGGAUCAUUACCGAGUGAGGGCCCUCUGGGUCCAACCUCCCACCCGUGUUUAUCGUACCUUGUUGCUUCGGCGGGCCCGCCUCACGGCCGCCGGGGGGCAUCCGCCCCCGGGCCCGCGCCCGCCGAAGACACACAAACGAACUCUUGUCUGAAGAUUGCAGUCUGAGUACUUGACUAAAUCAGUUAAAACUUUCAACAACGGAUCUCUUGGUUCCGGCAUCGAUGAAGAACGCAGCGAAAUGCGAUAAGUAAUGUGAAUUGCAGAAUUCAGUGAAUCAUCGAGUCUUUGAACGCACAUUGCGCCCCCUGGUAUUCCGGGGGGCAUGCCUGUCCGAGCGUCAUUGCUGCCCUCAAGCACGGCUUGUGUGUUGGGCUCUCGCCCCCCGCUUCCGGGGGGCGGGCCCGAAAGGCAGCGGCGGCACCGCGUCCGGUCCUCGAGCGUAUGGGGCUUCGUCACCCGCUCUGUAGGCCCGGCCGGCGCCCGCCGGCGAACACCAUCAAUCUUAACCAGGUGACCUCGGAUCAGGUAG